Molecule: ribosomal RNA, 429 nt
Filed under: uncultured bacterium
Lineage: Bacteria
Description: bacterial SSU rRNA
Rfam family: Bacterial small subunit ribosomal RNA
Source: RNAcentral
GAGGAAUCUUGCGCAAUGGGCGAAAGCCUGACGCAGCAACGCCGCGUGGAUGAUGAAGGCCUUCGGGUCGUAAAAUCCUGUCGAGUGGGACGAAACACCGGUUGGCAAAUAACUGACCGGCUUGACGGUACCACUGGAGGAAGCCCCGGCUAACUCCGUGCCAGCAGCCGCGGUAAUACGGAGGGGGCGAGCGUUGUUCGGAAUCAUUGGGCGUAAAGGGCGCGUAGGCGGUCGAGUAAGUCGGUUGUGAAAGCCCCUGGCUUAACCAGGGAAGUGCAGCCGAAACUGCCUGACUAGAGGCCGGGAGAGGAGAGUGGAAUUCCCAGUGUAGCGGUGAAAUGCGUAGAUAUUGGGAGGAACACCUGUGGCGAAGGCGGCUCUCUGGACCGGUUCUGACGCUGAAGCGCGAAAGCUAGGGGAGCAAACAGG